GACGAACGCUGGCGGCGUGCCUAAUACAUGCAAGUCGAGCGAGACUCUUCGGAGUCUAGCGGCGGACGGGUGAGUAACACGAGGGCAACCUGCCUGUAAGACUGGGAUAACACCGGGAAACCGGUGCUAAUACCGGAUAAUCCUUUUCCUCUCAUGAGGAAAAGCUGAAAGUCGGUUUCGGCUGACACUUACAGAUGGGCCCGCGGCGCAUUAGCUAGUUGGUGAGGUAACGGCUCACCAAGGCGACGAUGCGUAGCCGACCUGAGAGGGUGAUCGGCCACACUGGGACUGAGACACGGCCCAGACUCCUACGGGAGGCAGCAGUAGGGAAUCUUCCACAAUGGACGAAAGUCUGAUGGAGCAACGCCGCGUGAGCGAUGAAGGCCUUCGGGUCGUAAAGCUCUGUUGUUAGGGAAGAACAAGUACCGGAGUAACUGCCGGUACCUUGACGGUACCUAACCAGAAAGCCACGGCUAACUACGUGCCAGCCGCCGCGGUAA
RNAcentral lists this ribosomal RNA (500 nucleotides) under uncultured bacterium. Its description in RNAcentral is "partial 16S ribosomal RNA". It matches the Rfam family "Bacterial small subunit ribosomal RNA", at positions 28 to 523 of the family's 1533-position model. The record is from RNAcentral.